This 211-nucleotide long non-coding RNA is filed under the name Mus musculus (house mouse). Its description in RNAcentral is "long non-coding RNA chr7:92820557-92820768". The record is from RNAcentral. Lineage: Eukaryota; Metazoa; Chordata; Mammalia; Rodentia; Muridae.
UCUCCCCCACCUCCUUUUGCUUCCUCUUACAAGGUGGUCAGGUGGUUUGGUUUUUAGUGUGCAGGAUCAAAAAUAGAUUUGGGUAAAAAAUAGAUCAGUGGUUCACAAUCAUCUCAAGGUGGAAAUACAUUAAGUUGGGUAUUAAGCUGAGUCCAAAUAUUCAUUUUUAAAAAGCCCCAAUGAUGAUUCCUGCCUCUGUCUGUUCUCAUCC